GGCUUACAUUCAGCUGGUGCACAAUAGAAUCAAUUCAAACUGAAAAGUGAAAAACGAGGAGAUAACUGCGGCCCAUGGGACUCGUGGGAUAGACUAAUGGGCUUCUGUAGGCCCAAUCGGUAGCGCCGCGGUCGCGCCAUUGCCCGCGGCCACAACCGUCCUCGGCCGCGCCAACAUCGGUUCCGCUCGGCCCCUCUUCGUCGUCAUUGGCUGGGGAGAAAUCAGACUACACGUCGAAGGAUCCUUCCCGAGCUCGCCGCCGCCGCCGUGAAAUCGGCUCCUCACAGCUCAGGUCACCGAGGGAGCUGCACAUCCUCGCCCAUGUCCAGAUAUAAGGACAAGCCUCCCGCAGUUCGGGUGUAUAGAGCCUGUGACGAAUCGAGGUAUCUGAUCCCGAGGAGUGUCUUCAGUGGAUGGGAGUUCAUCACAGCAGAAUCUUAGUCAGAAGAGGGAUUUGGGUGGAUCACAGCCUAUUGCUAAUGCCUCAAGUUCCAUAGUUACGAGGGUUUCCUCUGAUCAGGAUUACUUUGCAUCACAAUUGAUGAACCAUACUGUUCGUUUGCUAAGAGAAAAGCUUGAUAAGAUUCAAUCAAGUGGUGAGCAUCUUCGAGCUGCUGGACCUGCUGUUGAGGAAGCGCAUCAGGACAAUCGAAGAAAAAUCUGAGACAAGUACACUGGGACACAAUCAGUUACCAUUAAUCGGCACACGGGGCAGACGCUGACUAAUCCAUCGCAAUUUUUACACAAGCACAAAUGCCUGCAAGGCAUCAACAGGACGGAAACCUCAUAAAGCUUGCAGGCUUUGCAGACCAUAUGUUCCUUGAAGCCUCGGUCAGAGCUCAUGGUGUUGUUAUGAAGGUUGAUGUAUGAAGCUGCAUCAUCAACUUCACUGUCUCCAAACCCUUCCUUUCCCUGAUCAGCUCCCAUCGAGAUCGCCUGUUGAAGAUUGGUCUUGAGGACAUUAGCUACUGACUCAUUGUACUUAGCUCGGUAUUGCCAGUUUUGAACUUCCAUGGCAACCUGCUUUAUUCUCUCCCCGAGCUCUCGGUUCCUCCGAUUCAUGUUCUCUAUCUCCAUGUCUUUUUCAUGUAGCUUCUUGUUGACUUC
Molecule: non-coding RNA, 1107 nt
Organism: Punica granatum (pomegranate)
Lineage: Eukaryota; Viridiplantae; Streptophyta; Magnoliopsida; Myrtales; Lythraceae
Source: RefSeq, a predicted model, not a curated record